RNAcentral lists this ribosomal RNA (450 nucleotides) under uncultured bacterium. RNAcentral describes it as "partial 16S ribosomal RNA". It matches the Rfam family "Bacterial small subunit ribosomal RNA", at positions 338 to 795 of the family's 1533-position model. The record is from RNAcentral.
CCUACGGGGGGCAGCAGUAGGGAAUAUUGGACAAUGGGUGCGAGCCUGAUCCAGCCAUGCCGCGUGCAGGAAGAAGGCGUUAUGCGUUGUAAACUGCUUUUGCCAGGGGAUAAAAUAACUGUUCGCAGUUGAUUGAAGGUACCUGGUGAAUAAGCCACGGCUAACUACGUGCCAGCAGCCGCGGUAAUACGUAGGUGGCAAGCGUUGUCCGGAUUUAUUGGGUGUAAAGGCGGCGUAGUAAGCCAUUGGUGAAAUAUCUCAGCUGAACUGAGAGGGUGCCAGUGAUACUGCGGGGCUUGAGUACAGAUGAGGUAGGCGGAAUUGACGGUGUAGCGGUGAAAUGCAUAGAUAUCGUCAAGAACACCGAUAGCGAAGGCAGCUUACCAAGCUGUAACUGACGCUGAGGCACGAAAGUGUGGGGAUCAAACAGGAUUAGAUACCCCUGUAGUC